This 1837-nucleotide non-coding RNA is filed under the name Pongo abelii (Sumatran orangutan). The record is from RNAcentral. Lineage: Eukaryota; Metazoa; Chordata; Mammalia; Primates; Hominidae.
CUCGGCUUCCUCCUCCCCCACUCAGGCCCCAGAAACGAGCUCAGGGGCCUGCCAGAGGCUCCGCCGAGGCGACGGGCCGCGCAGAACUCUGGCGGCGGCCGUGGGGCUGCUGGAGCCGGGCCUGGCCUGGGUGACCGUGACCGUGGCCCCCACGCACGCCUAGACCGGACCCCGGGCGGGCGCCGCCUCCUGGGACCAGAUUCCACCCCAGCGGCGGCGCGGCCGGGAGUCGCGCACGAAGAAACUGACUCAGCGGACUCCGCCAAGUCCCCAGGCCCGGAGCCCCGCAGCGGAGGCGCGCAGUGCGCAGCCCGGCCGGCCACCCUCCGCGACCCGCCAGCCGGGGAUCCUGCGGCCCCACAGAAGGUCUGGGAACCGGGAGCAGGAAAAAUGAAAGCCGCCUAUCUCCAGAUCUAAGAAUAGAAAUCAGGGCGCUGGGAAAAGAGGACACCGCCCAAAUGGCCCCUUUUAGAAAUACAUUGUCUUUAGAGUUCCCCCUAUAGGGAGAUGAGCAAUUUUCCCCAAAGGAUGGAGAGAGAGGUUAGCCAUCAAAACUGCCCCCGCUACUGUCAUUUUUAUGAUUUUUUGUGACUGUUAGUGGGAGAGGAAAUAAACAUUGUUUCCCUGUGAGUUAUCUGAAGCUCUGGUCACCAAAAAGGCCACUAAAUUAACUUUUGGAAAUUUGAGUUGCACUAGGCAGGAUUCUGAUACUUGGGACACCCAAAAAGUAAUCAGCUCUCAGAGCUAUUAGAACUGAGACAAAGGACAGGGUACAUGAAAUGAAAGGUGAAAAGGUGAGAGAAGCAAACCUAAAUACUCUUCUCUUGGUAUUCGGAAAUACUUAUGAGUAUGGGUGUCUAUAACCCCAAAGUUUUUUGGUUUUGUUUUUUGAUUGUUUGUUUGUUCGUUCUGUUAAGUACCUAAGUAAUGUGUUUUUAGGAAAAGAAACCUAGCAAGAACAUUGUAGACAAGGCUAGGCAAAGAUGAUCUAUCCUUCAGGUGAUGUGUCUGUCCUCAAGGCCAUUUACAAAGAAGAGGAUUGGACUGGAAGUUACUACUUCACAAUUUUAGUUUUGUUUUCACAUCUGUUACUUCAAUCCUGAUGACAAUUCUGAAAUGGAUACAACUACUACUAUGUAUCCUUCUUUCACUAAUGAGGAAAUUGAGAUUUGGAGUUGAAAAGUGAAGAGCUUUGCUGGAGUCACACAGGUGGGAAGUUGAGAGCCAGGACUUCAACCCAGCAAAUCUUCUAACUCCAGGUAGAAGGUUCUUCAUGCUCUACAACUUUAAUAAGAAUGCUCUAGACUUUGUUAAUUCAUUAGAUUAGUGAGAUAGCAAAUUCCUACUCAACCUGGAUAUUGGGUCUAUGUCUUGUUAUAGAGUCUUCAACUUUUACAGACAUGCUGAAAUAUUUAUAGUUGAAAUGGUUAGGAUUUGUUUCGAAGUCAUCCAGUGGUGGAGGAAAAGAUGAAAUGUGUGGAGGUAGAGAUAACGAUAACAACUUUUGAACUGAUAAUUGUUGAAGAUAAUAAGAGAUGGGUUCAUGUGGUCUGUUCUACUAUUCUGUCUAUAUAAAAUUUUCCAUAAUUUAACAAAAAACUCCCAAUCUUACAAUAUUUAUCAGACCUACAGUGUAUUAUUUUCUAAGUUGUUUCUAAACUUGUUUCCAUUUCUGAUGACUUAAUCAAUGUCUCAAGCAUUUCUAGGCAUUCUCCAUCUCACGCAUUCCUUCUGUUCCUCUGCAUUACUUUCUCCUUUCCUGUUCUACUGAAUUACAACCUUGCAAGAAAUUAAAACCUACCUCCCUUCCAAAGAAAAAUAAAUCUAAAUUAAAAGA